RNAcentral lists this non-coding RNA (21 nucleotides) under Caenorhabditis elegans. Lineage: Eukaryota; Metazoa; Nematoda; Chromadorea; Rhabditida; Rhabditidae. The record is from RNAcentral.
UGGUUCUAUCUUACUAUUAAA